RNAcentral lists this transfer RNA (73 nucleotides) under Sarcophilus harrisii (Tasmanian devil). It matches the Rfam family "tRNA". From Rfam's summary of the family: Transfer RNA (tRNA) molecules are approximately 80 nucleotides in length. Their secondary structure includes four short double-helical elements and three loops (D, anti-codon, and T loops). Further hydrogen bonds mediate the characteristic L-shaped molecular structure. tRNAs have two regions of fundamental functional importance: the anti-codon, which is responsible for specific mRNA codon recognition, and the 3' end, to which the tRNAs corresponding amino acid is attached (by aminoacyl-tRNA synthetases). tRNAs cope with the degeneracy of the genetic code in two manners: having more than one tRNA (with a specific anti-codon) for a particular amino acid; and 'wobble' base-pairing, i.e. permitting non-standard base-pairing at the 3rd anti-codon position. The record is from Rfam by way of RNAcentral. Lineage: Eukaryota; Metazoa; Chordata; Mammalia; Dasyuromorphia; Dasyuridae.
GCCACAGUGGCUCAGUGGGUAGAGCCCCAGCCUUGAAGUCAGGAGGAGCUGAGUUCAAAUCUGGUCUCAGGCA